Molecule: ribosomal RNA, 253 nt
Filed under: uncultured bacterium
Lineage: Bacteria
Description: partial 16S ribosomal RNA
Rfam family: Bacterial small subunit ribosomal RNA
Source: RNAcentral
UACGGAGGGUGCAAGCGUUAUCCGGAUUCACUGGGUUUAAAGGGUGCGUAGGCGGACAGGUAAGUCAGUGGUGAAAUCUCCGGGCUUAACCCGGAAACUGCCAUUGAUACUAUUUAUCUUGAAUACUUUGGAGGUAAGCGGAAUAUGUCAUGUAGCGGUGAAAUGCUUAGAUAUGACAUAGAACACCAAUUGCGAAGGCAGCUCACUACGGAUUUAUUGACACUGAGGCACGAAAGCGUGGGGAUCAAACAGG